UACGAAGGGGGCUAGCGUUGCUCGGAAUCACUGGGCGUAAAGCGCACGUAGGCGGAUUGUUAAGUCAGGGGUGAAAUCCUGGAGCUCAACUCCAGAACUGCCUUUGAUACUGGCGAUCUCGAGUCCGGGAGAGGUGAGUGGAACUGCGAGUGUAGAGGUGAAAUUCGUAGAUAUUCGCAAGAACACCAGUGGCGAAGGCGGCUCACUGGCCCGGUACUGACGCUGAUGCGCGAAAGCGUGGGGAGCAAACGGG
RNAcentral lists this ribosomal RNA (253 nucleotides) under uncultured bacterium. Its description in RNAcentral is "partial 16S ribosomal RNA". It matches the Rfam family "Bacterial small subunit ribosomal RNA", at positions 524 to 776 of the family's 1533-position model. The record is from RNAcentral.